GAACGAGAAAGUGGAGCAAUCCAUGAGUAAAGUGGCGACCGGUGUGAGUAACACGUGACUAACCUACCUCCGAGUGGGGAAUAACUCCGGGAAACCGGGGCUAAUACCGCAUAACAUCGCAAGAUCAAAGCAGCAAUGCGCUUGGAGAGGGGGUCGCGGCUGAUUAGCUCGUUGGCGGGGUAACGGCCCACCAAGGCGAAGAUCGGUAUCCGGCCUGAGAGGGCGCACGGACACACUGGAACUGAAACACGGUCCAGACUCCUACGGGAGGCAGCAGUGGGGAAUUUUGCGCAAUGGGGGAAACCCUGACGCAGCAACGCCGCGUGGAGGAUGAAGCCCUUUGGGGCGUAAACUCCUUUCGACUCGGACGAUAAUGACGGUACGAGUGGAAGAAGCACCGGCUAACUCUGUG
Molecule: ribosomal RNA, 412 nt
Filed under: uncultured bacterium
Lineage: Bacteria
Description: bacterial SSU rRNA
Rfam family: Bacterial small subunit ribosomal RNA
Source: RNAcentral